GAGAAUGAAUAGAUGAGACAUGGGAAUACACCAUUGGAUAUUACACUCUAGUAAAUACCUUUUGGUGUGUACACUUUGUUCUGCGCAUAUUUUUUGGUAGUUGAAAAAUUCAAAGAAGCAUUUGAUCGCACUUUACUUAAUCCUGCGAAUACAAGGUUAGUGUGACAUUUUAAAGAAAACAAUUAAAUAGGAUUAUGGAAAUAGUAAACAGGAACUUAC
This is a non-coding RNA of Schizosaccharomyces pombe (fission yeast), 219 nucleotides long. Lineage: Eukaryota; Fungi; Ascomycota; Schizosaccharomycetes; Schizosaccharomycetales; Schizosaccharomycetaceae. The record is from the annotation of a GenBank genome assembly.